AACUCUCAUAAUCUUAAUAAAAAGUAAAAAAAAAAAAAAAUAGCAUAUAAAGUGUGCAACUGAGUGCAUUUGGCACAUUCACAAUCUGUGCAACCACCACCUCUUUAUCGAACUCCAGAGCAUUCCCAUCACCCCAAAGGGAAACCCGGUCCCCAUCAGCAGCCACCCCCAGUACCUCCCCCAGCGCCUGGCAACCACUCUGUUUUUGGUCGUGCAGAAUUCCCUCUUGUGGACACUUCGCAGAAGUGGAACCACGCACUACGUGGCCCUUUGUCCUGGCUUCUUUCACUCAGCACAAGGUUUUUGAGGUCCAUCCACGUUGUCGUGUGUGUCAGUGUGGGCCUCGGGCCACAGACCCCACCAGGGCUCAGGCCACCCCUGGGGGUGCUGCAGCCGUGAGCCCAGGGCUUGGGCCGCCUCGCUGGGCCCUCUGCCCAAGGAAGCUGGCAAGAUCCUGGCCAAGAUCCACAGACACCUCUGGUGGCCAGAAUAGCUGACCCAGGGGCCAGGUGAGGGGGGCGACCCUCAGGGCCAGCCAGCAGGUGCCUCACACCACCGUGACAGUCGAUUUGCUCGGGAGAGGGGACCAAAGGUUGUCCCAAGAGAGGCUGUCUGGACAGACAGUGCUGGAUGACCAGAAUCCCCCUCGCAGCUCUUUCUCCUGGAAGCGACACACGACCAAGACCAGUGAGGGUGUGUGCACGCACGUGAGCACGUGUGCACUUGUGGACAUGCUCGUGAGCAUGCGAGGGUGUGUAUGCAUGCCUGUGAGCCCGAGUGUGAGAGCCCGCCUGCCCAACCUGCCCUGUGCUCCACCUAUGCUCUCCUGUGUGGCCACCCCCGCCCCCCACCCGCCCUGACCUCCCUCGCCCACAGUGCAGACCCUUCCCGGGAUGCGGCACCUUUCAGGACCUCGAAUGUGUGCAAGAGAACUGCAAGGAGGCUAAUUGUGACGGAAAGUCCUGGGCGCCCUAGAAUUCAGGCACGUUGACCAGCCGCGUACGACGGAGUGCUAUGCACUCCGUGAAGCCCCGUGGUGGGUCUACGUGAGGGCGGAGCAACGCCGCUGCAGUUAAGGGAACCGGUGGGCAUAACGUGGGCCCGAGAGGCCGCCGGUGGUGCUUAAAUCCCUGUGCGCACGUUCAUGCAGAGAGCAGGUCCUGCUCGCCCCGCUGGGGGUCAGUGGCUUUUAUGUUCUCUCUUCUUCUCGUGUCUAUUUCCUGAUGUUUGUAUGGUGAGCAGGCCCUGAUUUGGGGACUUCUAAAGUCAUUUUCAGGAAGCAAAGGCGUCCAAGAGGAAGGGUAAUUUUCGAAGGCGUGAGUGGCUGAGGGCACCUGGCUCUGGCUCAUUCGGGAGGCCCCCACUACCUGCAGACUUGGGGUGCCCUGAGGUGGUGUGUCCUCCACCCCUUGGCCCCUGGUGGCCUCCUUCAGAGUUACCCAGGAGCUGCCUGGGGCCUGUUGGCCUUCAGGGGCACCAGUUGAGGUCAUUGGCUCCAGCAAGCCCCCUGGAGUGCAGAGCCGAGGGGCCGCCCUGCACCACCCACAGGACGCACAGGUGCUUGUCUGGAGAAGCGUGUUCUGUGCAGGGGACAGAGGCGCCGUCAAUCUUAAGUCACCAGAAAGCACUUUCAAGACCUGGAGAAACUCUUGACUGGCAGCUUGAGCAACGCAUCUGCUGUGCUCAGGACCCGUGGCCUCGCCUGCGGAGAAGCACAGUCUUUCUCAGAGACACAUCCCUGUGGAGCUGACCAUGCGUGGAGGGGCCCCUCUUUCUGAGGGGUGCCCUGCCUUUGUUCUAGUUGCCAGUGUUCGUGGCUGUGAGGUCUCCCGCGACCCAUGGCCUCCACCGUGCGGUUGGCUAGGACCUUGGGGCCUGAGACCCUGGUCGGGCGGCCUGAUUGUCUGCCCGGGUCUGUCUGGUGGCACGUUGUCCUGGCAUAUGGUGGGCUCUGUGCUGUUGUCUUGCUGGACCCUGGGCAGGAGUAGCCUGGCCUGGGCAGCAGGUGGAUGGCAGUGGUGGCAGUGUGGAGGCCGGCUGUCUGGUCGGUUGUGGGCCUCUUCAGCCUCCUGCCCUCUCGGACGUGGUUUCUGGGCAGACAUCAGCACAGCGGAGCUAUGUCCAGCGAGCUUGGGUCUGCCCACAGGCCGGUGCUGGCCUCUGGGGUCCCUGGGAGGCCGCCACCUGCCCACAUCCUGGCAGCCCCACUCCCAGCCCCUUUAUUCCCUGGGAUCCCAGGAGGGCAUCCCGGGCACCCAUCUCCUCCUGCUCAUCUUCGGUCAGCUAAGGUGUCCCGGAUAAGUGUCCCUGUCAUCCCGAUGACACUUUGCUCCCUUGCGAUCCUUCAGGAAGGCACUGCUGGGCCGAAGACACUGUGCAGGAUGAGGAAAUGGAAGCCCAGGUGAGCAGGAGGGCGAGGACAGUGGGCUGGAUGGAGUGGGACUGACUAAGGCCAGGUGGCAGCCUCCACAUCAGCCCCACCGGCCUUGCUGCCCACCCCGCAGAGACCCCUGGGUGCUGAGGAGGCGCCGGCAAGGCCACGAUUUGUGGGGCACAUGCCCUAACUCAUGGAGGAGCUCCUUCACUCCAGCUGGUCCCAGGCCCUGCCCAGACUGAGGGCUUCCCUUCCUGUGUGCCUUGUACAUCCGGCCCUGCCCAGACUGACGGCUUCCCUCCAUCGUGUGCCUUGUACAUCCGGCCCUGCCCAGACUGACGGCUUCCCUCCAUCGUGUGCCUUGUACAUCCGGCCCUGCCCAGACUGACGGCUUCCCUCCAUCGUGUGCCUUGUACAUCCGGCCCUGCCCAGACUGACGGCUUCCCUCCAUCGUGUGCCUUGUACAUCCGGCCCUGCCCAGACCUGACGGCUUCCCUCCAUCGUGUGCCUUGUACAUCCGGCCCUGCCCAGACCUGACGGCCUCCCUACAUCGUGUGCCUUGUACAUCCGGCCCUGCCCAGACCUGACGGCUUCCCUACAUCGUGUGCCUUGUACAUCCGGCCCUGCCCAGACUGACGGCUUCCCUACAUCGUGUGCCUUGUACAUCCGGCCCUGCCCAGACCUGACGGCUUCCCUACAUCGUGUGCCUUGUACAUCUGACCCUGCCCAGACCUGACCGUUUCCCUGCAUCGUGUGCCUUGUACAUCUGGGCCCAGCCCAGCUGCCGGUCGGGGCACACCUCUGGCCAAUGCAGGUGCGAGGCAUCCGGGCCACACACACACAUUUCAGAGGAGACACAGCCAGCCGUCCGCUGCGGAGACUGCCCGGCUCAGGUGCUUCCCCAAGAAGGUUCCCUUAGUCCUCGAGGAGCCCACAACCACCCUGCACCCCCAGGACAGGGUCCAAAAGGUGCCGGACUUCAGCUGUGUCUGCCAGAUGGGUUUCUGUACCAAGAAAUGGAGACGGGUCAUCCCAGAAGCCCCGGCCAAGGAGGGGAAGCAGAUCCUAGCGCCUCGCCGGUCCAGAGUGAACGGCUGGUCGAAGCCCCUUCACUCCUUCCAGGCGGCGGCCUGGAUCAUGUUCUUGGUCUUGGCCUUCGCCAGCUUCUUCAUCUUCAUUCCCUUGCUGCCACAGGAGUGGAAGUACAUCGCCUACAUUGUGACCGGUGGGCUUUUCUUUUUCCAUUUCAUCGUCCACUUGAUUGCAAUGUCCCUCGAUCCGGCCGAAGACAGCGUCCGCCUUAAGAAGAGCUACACGGAGCCUCUGCCGACCUUCGACCGUUCCAAACAUGCGCACGUGAUCCAGAACCAGUAUUGCCACCUGUGCCAGGUCCCCGUGAGCCUGAAAGCCAAACACUGCAGUGCCUGCAACAAGUGCAUCUCUGGCUUCGACCACCACUGCAAAUGGCUCAACAACUGUGUGGGGACCCGGAACUACUGGUACUUCUUCAGCUCCGUGGCGUCUGCUUCGGCCGGACUGCUCUGCCUGAUCGUCAUCCUGCUGUACAUCUUCACUCAGUACUUCCUGAACCCAGAGGAGCUGCGCACGGACCCCCAAUACCAAAACGUCUCCAGGAAGAACACGUGGCUGCUGUUUCUCCCCCUCUUUCCUGUGAGGACCAGCACCCCAGUGGUCCUGGGCAUCGGGGUGUCCAUGCUGCUGUUGGACAUCAUGACCCUUGUGAUGCUGGGACACCUGCUCAUCUUCCACCUCUACCUGAUGGCCAAAAAAAUGAGCACGUUUGAAUAUAUGACACAGGGCCGCCUCCGACAGGAUGCAAAAACCCCAGAAGCGAAGAAAGGGCCGUCCAUCCAAAUAGAAUUGCCACAGGAAGCAGAUGAAGACCUGAGUCCGUCUGUGCGUGGCAAAGGGAAGCACAAGCAGUUCCUGAGGUUUCCUUGGUGCCAGAACAUAUGCUCCUUAAGCACCGUACACCCAAAGAAAUCCUCGCCGCCAAAGCAAACAGUUGUCGACCCAAAUUCAUCCGCUUCUGGGGUGAAGUCUGAGGAGCUCCCGCCUCCACUUAAGGACCCAAGUCAGUCCUUUGUCGUCACCAUACACCCAGAGAACUCCUCGUCGUUGCUGAAGUUAAGAGCAGAGCCGCUGGGCACCAGCCUCAAAUGCAGGGGGAGAGCCGAAGGUUGGGUCUAAGGCUUCCCCCGAGAACUGAGGAAGCAGACAGCCGACCGAGAACACCUGCUCUUGGCAGAGUGAAGCGGAAGGAGUUCCUGCCGCCACCACCGCUGUUUCUGUCUUCAAGUCUGAGUUCCACCGCUGUCGUCGCCCCAGAGGGCGCCCAGGAGGGUGCUUGGACGCUGAAGGUUGCAAUGGAUCAAGAAGAAACGAAGCAGCCUGGGGAAGGGAACCGUGCUGGAGAUGCAGUUCUGGCUCUCGGUAGGCUGUUGUGCAGUUUGAGUCACGUUGAGACCUACUCCAGGUUCUCUAGAGAGUUGACUGUUUCCUACGGAAAGCCAGCGGAUGGCCAGGGUCCAGGACACUUGUCUCAGCGAAAUGGAGGACAAGCUUGAGCUCACAUGGAGUGUCUGCAAAUAGCCCUGAUAUCCAGCCUGCUUGCCCACCACCUGCUCUGUGUGCCAAAAAGCAGUAGGUCCAAGACGUGCAGCUGGACACUUGGCUGAAGCAUAAGCUUGCAAACCAUCUGCAAAUAGCUGAGAGCUGGCUCAGCAAAUAGCUGAGCUGUGGAACGUCUGAUGGGCAGUGGCGGCCAGCUUACUUAUGGCCACAAACAGCAAGGUCCCAUGGAGAGUUUGGUUAGCAAGUGAAACUGAAGGUCUGAUGCAUUCUACAGAAGCUCAGACUCAGCCUCCGUGUCCUGCCUGUGACGUUUUGAGUAAUUUCAGGUAGAAUCUUCAUUGUUCACAUGUCCUAAUCCUUCCAGAGCUCGUCUGAAAUGGUGUCACCUCAUUUUAAAAAAUACUCAACACUCAAACAGCUGAUGUUUGCUGGACUGACGUCUCGUUGUUGUGCAUUUCUUUACAGUGCACAAUCUGGUCGAGCACGUAACUUUAGUCUGCUCAGCAUGCUGUGUAUGGGCAUCAGCGACUCCUGCUUCUAGAAAGGAGAGGGAGGCUGAGAGGGGUAGUGUGACUUCUACAUAAUUCCGGAAAGAUUUAAGUGAGUUUUAAGGAUUAUAAAAUACAAACCAAUGGUGUAAGUGAAAAAGGGAGGGAAAAAGAAGACAAAUGGCGCCUGAGCCUCAGGGUUCCGGUCAUGGGCAGGUUGAUUCCCAGGACGGAUGGACAUGCAGACAGACGAGCACCGUGGAUGUGUGAGCACUGUGCAUGUGGGGCAAGUGAUCUGAAAGGCUUUCAUGACCACGCAAGACAGGAAGGGGUUCUCAGGCCAGGGACGGAGGCAAAGAGGAAGCCCAAAGACAACCCGGUGGGCACGGAAGCCUCUGCCCCGGGGCGUCUGCCAGCCCUGAUUUUCACAGCUUUACAGGAGGAGAAAGAGAAGACCAAGCUCAGAGCACAGCCAGAAGGGGAGGCCGGUAAGUCAUCCCCUCAAGUUUGGCCCCUGAAAUGGCCAUGCCCUCACUGUAGUGGUGAACCAGAAGGAACCCAAUUCUCCACCCCAAAGGACUUGGGGAUAAUCAGCCAUCUCAGACCGUGGAGCUGAGGAAAAGAAAAGGAAAAGAGAAAAAUCGCUGCUGAGUAUUUGGAACAACAGGCUGUCCCUAACUUUGUGCUGGGUGAGUGGUCCAAAAGAUCGUCCAUCUGAGAAUUCGCAACGAGUCAUUCUUGACUGGCCACUCCCAGAUGCCGAGCAGAAUUCCUCUCUGAGCAACCAACCUUCAUCCCAGGCUUCUUCAUCAGGAUUUUUCACAAAUAAAACUACAAAGAAAAUGAGCAGCUCUCAAUAACACACGACUGGCUCCACAUGGCAACAAGCACUCUGAGUCAGAAUCAACAGAAACUAUAGCAUAAAUGGACACACAAAGAUGCGGGUAUUGGACUUAGCAGAUGGAAACACAAAAUAACUAUCAUUAUUUCAUUUAGAGAAAUAAAAGGCAAUGGUAAAAAUAACUGAAAAGAACAGAAAAGUAGUUUUUAAAUUACCAAGCACAUUUGAAAAAGAACCAAAUAAAACUUAUACAAAUGAAAAAUACCAAGAAAAUUAAAAAGUUAACUGAUAUAUCUAACAAUAUAUUAGGCAGUCGAGAAGUGAAUUAGUGAAUUAGAAUCUAGAACUGGAGAAAUUACUCAAAUACAGAAAGACAAAGAAAUGCAAAAUACGAAGGAAAGUGAAUAGAAUAGAGUUUGAAGUCUGUGAUACGUGUAAUCAGAGUCCCAGAAACAGAGAAGAAAAUCAUGAAGAGACACUAUUUAAAGAGAUGAUGGCUGAGAAUUUACCAGCACUGUCGUAAGAUACCAACUGACAGAUUCACAAAGUCCAGUAAAUCUAACAUGGUAAAUAAAAUUCUAGAUGCAUUGUAAGUAAAGUGACAAACACAUGAGGCAAAGAAAAUAUAUAUUUUUAAACUUCCAGUGAUAAAAGCAGAAUCUCUUCCAAGGAGUUGCUGAUUAACUAACUUCAUUCACACUAGUGGAAACCAGAGCAGAGUUGAAUCAUACCUUUAAUAUGGUGGCGAAAAGUCAAUCUAGGAUUCUAUACAUGGCUAAAGUAUCUUUUAAGAAUGAGGAUGAAAUAGACAUUUCUACAUAUUGGUAAGAAAUGUUAGAAAAAGGAAAAAUAUACCAUUUACUAUAGCAUUUUUUGAAAAUGAGGUCUCUAGGAAUAAACCUAACAAAAGAUGUGCAAGACUUGUGGAGAAAAUUAUAAAACUUAAAGAGAGACAUUUGAAAGAGACCCAAACAAAUGAAGAGAUAUAUAUUGUUCCUGGAGUGUGAGUUACAUUGUAAAGAUGUCAAAAUUCCCAAAUAGAGUCAAUGUGACCUCAAUCAAAACCCCAACUAGUUUUGUGUGUGCGUGUGUCUAUGUGUUUGUAGGCAACUUGAAAAGCUGAUUCUUAACCAUAUGUGGUAUUUGAAAGGGUCAAGAAUAGCCAAGACACUCUUGAAGAAAAGGGGCAAUGUAGGAAGACGUGCCUCACCAUUCCUUUGAAGUUCCAUCCAUUAAAGACACUGGUAUUCUUGCAGAAGUAAAUGUGGAGAUCAGGGAGCUGAUUAGCGCUGCCCGGACAAAAUCCAUCCACACACAGACACUUGGUUUUUGAAGAGUGUGACUGAUGAUAGGAAUAGAUGUUUUAAUAAGAGCUGCUGGAAUAAUUGGUACCCAUGUGGGCAUAACGUUAAUAAAAUUAGCCCCCACCUUGUAGUAUUCACAAAAAUCAAUUCCAUGUGGACUAAAGACAUAAACGUAAAGGACAAACUGUAGAAACUUUUAGAAGAUAAUACUGGAUAACAUCCUUGUGUCCUCAGGGUAUACAGUCGUCCCUCUGCCUCAGCAGGGGAUUUGUUGCAGGACCCUCCAUGGGGGACCCUCCACUACCAAAGUUCACAGAUGCUCAGAGAUCUACAGUUGGCUCUCCAUGUCCACGGGUUCCGCAUCCAAGGGUCAAAAAUACAGUAUACGGGUACAGUCACCCAUUGCUUAACGAAGGAGAUGAGAAAUGCGCCGUUCGGCGAUUUCGUCGUCGUGUGAACAUCAUAGAGUGUACUGACACAAACCUAGAUGGCAUAGCCUUCUGCACACCUAGGCUGUGUGGCACUGAUCUCAUGGGGCCACCAUGGCACAGGUGGUGGGUCGUUGACCAAAAUGUGGUUAUGUGGCGCGUGCCUCUAUUUUCGAUCCACGGUUGGUUGAAUCUGCUGACUGCGUAAGGAUUUGUUAAGUGAGCUCUUUUUAAAGGCACUAGUCAUAAAGCAAGAUAUACAUAAAUUAGAUAACACUAAAAUCAAGAACUUCUGGUUAUCAAAAGAUGCCACUAAAAAGUGAAAAGUCACACCAAAAAUUGGAAAAAUAUUUGCAACACAUAAUUGAGAAAGGACCGGUAUCCAAAAUACAUAAAGAACUAUGACUCAAUAAGAAAGAAGUAGACAAAUGAUUGAACGGGCACUUCGCAGAAGAGGAAACCCAGAAAGCCAAUAAACACGUUCAGAGUGCUAACUGUGUCAUGAAUCGGGAGGCACAGCCUGGAGCCACGUGUGGCAGCACCAUCUGCCCAUCACACUGUCCAUUCCUGGCAACGGUGGGGGCCUGGGAACAUGUGUGACUGGUGGGUUUGAGAUGACGUAGCCACUUUGGGAUGGCAUGACCUUCCUCAGCUGCGUGAGCUAACCAAGGCCCGCCAGGUCAUUCUAGGUGUGUAUCUUAGAGAAAUUCUCCCCUGAGCCCAGCAGGAGAUGGACAACAGUUCAGAAUGGCCCCACGUGGGGAACGACUGGGAUGCUGAGCAGAAGAUGGUAACCUGUGGAGCAUUCGUGAGGGAACGCCGCAGUCCCAGGCCAGCUUCACAGGCAGUGAGAGAAGCAACAAAGUGCCGGCUCUGUGAUUUCCUCUGCACAAAGUUCAGAAGCAGGCCACAGGCAACGCCGCGUUGUUUAGAUGGUGCGGUGUGCGAGUGGUGCGCUAGAGCCGUGUACAAACGGGAGAGUGCUGCCACACAGCCAUCUAUUGGCCAGGGGAUGGGGAGGGGAGGAUGUGACCGGAGACGACACACCGGACUCACAUCCUGGGGUCCCCCUGUGGGCUGUCACCCUCUCAUUAUUCUUUUAAAUGUGCGUAAAUGUUUAUCUACUCUUCUCCAUAUGUGAUGUAUUUCACACUAAGAACAGAAAAUAGCCUGUGUGGACGACGUGUUUGUCUCGCGGGGCUGGCUCACUGGGAGAGGAGGGUUCUGGCCGGGACGCAGCUGUGAGCAAGCCCGGGGUUCUCCCCAGAAAUGGCCCCGCUUCUGGCAAAGGCCAGGACAGAAGGUGCCAGAGCACUGCGCCUCGGUCUUCAGGUCAGGCCGGGCUUGGGGCCCGUGCACUCAGGGCUCCGUGGCCUCUUGCACACCUCACUUAGGGCGCUCAUGGUGACUUUCGUUUGCUCCACAGGAGCCUGGGAGCCCAUGCUGGCAGAGCGUGCCAUCGGGGAACCUUUCUCCCCCAACAUCCUGCCUGGGGAGGCGGCCAUGGAAAACAUUGGGGUCCCAUCCUCGCUGCCCUACAGCAGCCAG
Equus caballus (horse) is the source of this 9578-nucleotide non-coding RNA. The record is from RefSeq and is a predicted model, not a curated record. Lineage: Eukaryota; Metazoa; Chordata; Mammalia; Perissodactyla; Equidae.